GGCUGGUCCGAUGGUAGUGGGUUAUCAGAACUUAUUAACAUUAGUGUCACUAAAGUUGGUAUACAACCCCCCACUGCUAAAUUUGACUGGCUUUUA
Molecule: Y RNA, 96 nt
Organism: Callithrix jacchus (white-tufted-ear marmoset)
Lineage: Eukaryota; Metazoa; Chordata; Mammalia; Primates; Cebidae
Rfam family: Y RNA
About the family: Y RNAs are components of the Ro ribonucleoprotein particle (Ro RNP), in association with Ro60 and La proteins. The Y RNAs and Ro60 and La proteins are well conserved, but the function of the Ro RNP is not known. In humans the RNA component can be one of four small RNAs -- hY1, hY3, hY4 and hY5.
Source: Ensembl